UACGUAGGGGGCGGGCGUUGUCCGGAGUUACUGGGCGUAAAGCGCUUGUAGGCGGUCCACCAAGUUUGGGGUGACAGUUGCCGACUUAAUCGGCAAAGUGCCUCAAAGACUGGCGGACUUGAGGGCCACAGAGGGACAUGGAACUCCAGGUGUAGUGGUGAAAUGCGUAGAUAUCUGGAAGAGCACCAAAGGCGAAGGCAGUGUCCUGGGUGGUCGCUGACGCUGAGAGGCGAAAGCCAGGGGAGCGAACGGG
Molecule: ribosomal RNA, 253 nt
Filed under: uncultured bacterium
Lineage: Bacteria
Description: partial 16S ribosomal RNA
Rfam family: Bacterial small subunit ribosomal RNA
Source: RNAcentral